Molecule: ribosomal RNA, 253 nt
Filed under: uncultured bacterium
Lineage: Bacteria
Description: partial 16S ribosomal RNA
Rfam family: Bacterial small subunit ribosomal RNA
Source: RNAcentral
UACGGAGGGUGCAAGCGUUAAUCGGAAUUACUGGGCGUAAAGGGCUCGUAGGUGGCCAACUAAGUCAGACGUGAAAUCCCUCGGCUUAACCGGGGAACUGCGUCUGAUACUGGACGGCUUGAGUUUGGGAGAGGGACGCGGAAUUCCCGGUGUAGAGGUGAAAUUCGUAGAUAUCGGGAGGAACACCAGUGGCGAAGGCGGCGACCUGGGCCAAUAUUGACGCUGAGGUGCGAAAGCGUGGGGAGCAAACAGG